Molecule: ribosomal RNA, 407 nt
Filed under: uncultured bacterium
Lineage: Bacteria
Description: partial 16S ribosomal RNA
Rfam family: Bacterial small subunit ribosomal RNA
Source: RNAcentral
AUUGAACGCUAGCGGGAUGCCUUACACAUGCAAGUCGAACGGAGUGGCGAACGGGUGAGUAAUGUAUCGGAACGUGCCCAGUAGCGGGGGAUAACUACGCGAAAGCGUAGCUAAUACCGCAUACUAUUGGAGCGGCCGAUCUCGGAGUUGCUAGUUGGGGUGGUAACGGCUCACCAAGGCGACGAUCCGUAGCUGGGUUGAGAGGACGACCAGCCACACUGGGACUGAGAACCGGCCCAGACUCUUACGUGAGGCAGCAGGGGGGAAUUUUGGACAAUGGGGGAAACCCUGAUCCAGCCAUCCCGCGUGAGCGAUGAAGGCCUUCGGGUUGUAAAGCACUUUUGUCAGGAAAGCGGUACCUGCAGAAUAAGCACCGGCUAACUACGUGCCAGCAGCCGCGGUAAUAC